UGGGGAAUUUUGGACAAUGGGCGAAAGCCUGAUCCAGCAAUGCCGCGUGUGUGAAGAAGGCCUUCGGGUUGUAAAGCACUUUUGUCCGGAAAGAAAUCCUUGGCUCUAAUACAGUCGGGGGAUGACGGUACCGGAAGAAUAAGCACCGGCUAACUACGUGCCAGCAGCCGCGGUAAUACGUAGGGUGCAAGCGUUAAUCGGAAUUACUGGGCGUAAAGCGUGCGCAGGCGGUUUGCUAAGACCGAUGUGAAAUCCCCGGGCUCAACCUGGGAACUGCAUUGGUGACUGGCAGGCUAGAGUAUGGCAGAGGGGGGUAGAAUUCCACGUGUAGCAGUGAAAUGCGUAGAGAUGUGGAGGAAUACCGAUGGCGAAGGCAGCCCCCUGGGCCAAUACUGACGCUCAUGCACGAAAGCGUGGGGAGCAAACAGGAUUUAGAUACCCCUGGUAGUCCACGCCCUAAACGAUGUCAACUAGUUGUUGGGGAUUCAUUUCCUUAGUAACGUAGCUAACGCGUGAAGUUGACCGCCUGGGGGAGUACGGUCGCAAGAUUAAAAC
This 555-nucleotide ribosomal RNA is filed under the name uncultured bacterium. RNAcentral's name for it is "partial 16S ribosomal RNA". It matches the Rfam family "Bacterial small subunit ribosomal RNA", at positions 355 to 900 of the family's 1533-position model. The record is from RNAcentral.